GCCUGCCCAGUGACUAUAUGUUCAACGGCCGCGGUAUUCUGACCGUGCCAAGGUAGCGCAAUCACUUGCCCUUUAAAUGGGGGCCCGUAUGAAUGGCACCACGAGGGCUAAUCUGUCUCCUUUUUCAAGUCAAUGAAAUUGAUCUCUCCGUGCAGAAGCGGAGAUAAAUACAUAAGACGAGAAGACCCUGUGGAGCUUUAGAUACUAAGACCGAUCCCGUCCCCGCCCGACAUAAACAUGGGCCAAAUUAAGGAAAACCAUCUGACUAUCUUUGGUUGGGGCGACCGCGGGGAUUAACAAAACCCCCACGUAGACCGGAGGCAUAAUGCACCUAAAACCAAGAGUUACCACUCUAACUAACAGAACUUCUGACUAAAAAAUGAUCCGACAAAGUCGAUCAACGGACCGAGUUACCCCAGGGAUAACAGCGCAAUCCCCUUUAAGAGUUCACAUCGACAAGGGGGUUUACGACCUCGAUGUUGGAUCAGGACAUCCCAAUGGCGCAGCAACUAUUAAGGGUUCGUUUGUUCAACGAUUAAAGUCCUACGUGAU
Molecule: ribosomal RNA, 552 nt
Filed under: Scolopsis frenata
Lineage: Eukaryota; Metazoa; Chordata; Actinopteri; Spariformes; Nemipteridae
Description: partial 16S ribosomal RNA
Rfam family: Bacterial large subunit ribosomal RNA
Source: RNAcentral